Molecule: ribosomal RNA, 390 nt
Filed under: Ixodes inopinatus
Lineage: Eukaryota; Metazoa; Arthropoda; Arachnida; Ixodida; Ixodidae
Description: partial 16S ribosomal RNA
Source: RNAcentral
UUGCUGUGGUAUUUUGACUAUACGAAGGUAUUGAAAUAAGAUUUUAAAUGAGUGCUAAGAGAAUGAUUAAACAAUUAAAAGCUUUCUUUAAUUAAAUAAUUGAAUUUAAUUUUUUAGUGCAAAAGCAAAAAUAAAAAUUAGGGACAAGAAGACCCUAUGAAUUUUUUAUUAAAUUUUAUAUAAAGUUUUAUAAAAUUUAAUUUAAUUGGGGUGAUGGAAAAAGAAUAAAUAUCUUUUUUUUUAAAAAAAAUUGGUUCCGUUUUUAGCGAUUAAAUGAAAAAAAUACUCUAGGGAUAACAGCGUAAUAAUUUUGGAUAGUUCAUAUAGAUAAAAUAGUUUGCGACCUCGAUGUUGGAUUAGGAUUCUUUUUUGGUGAAGAAGUUAAAAAAA